Molecule: long non-coding RNA, 1625 nt
Organism: Lepus europaeus (European hare)
Lineage: Eukaryota; Metazoa; Chordata; Mammalia; Lagomorpha; Leporidae
Exons: 5
Source: RefSeq, a predicted model, not a curated record
GUCGCGCCCAGACAACAGCGGGAAAAGCGUCCCUGCGGUGGCUUGGCCUUCUCCUCUCUGAGAAGAGGAAGCCCCGGACCUCGGGAGCAGGAAGUGGUCCAGAAACUGCUCAGGUGUGGGUGUAGGUGGUUGAGCAACAGGCAGUCCUGCCUUCUUGAUUCCCCAUAAAGAUACAGUUCUCUGCAGUGCAUCUGAGAAGCAGCAGACAACCCAAAUUCUUGAGUCCCUGCCACCAUGAGGGAGACUUGGAUGGAGUUCCAGAUCCGAGCUUUGAUCUGACCCAGUCCCAGCCAUUGUGACCAUUUGGCUUUCAGGUGAUUGACGAGGACAGAGUCCCUAAGCUGCAAAGAGACUGAAUUUUGGAAACUACGUCCAGAACUCCACAGUGCGUAUUUAAGUGCUCUUCCCUCAGGCCUGCAGGCGGACAGCAAGAGCAACAGAGGCUGAUUUUCCAGCCGAUAUAUGGAUCAUCUUCAUUUCUUCCUAAUGGAGGCGUGCAUUGGUAUCUGGGAAUCUAGCCUCAUCUGCCCAUGAUGUCAGCAGGUCAGGACCAUGGGAAAUCUCCUCUGGCCUCCUUCUCAGCAUGUGCCAUUCCAACCACUCCCACCAUCUUCACAGAAUUCCUGACCCCUGGGGCUUUCCUCAUAUGCUCAAGAGCUGUGUGGUUGGUUUCUGUGUCUGUGGGUGUUAGUGUGAGGGUGAAAGGAACCUUGGAGAGCAGGACAGGUGUCUGUCUCUUGGUGGCAUAGGUGACAGCCAUAGAUCUGAGGUGUUAAGUCAGGUAUUCAGGUGCACCCUGUAGAUCUUGGCUGGUCGAGGAAGAGACACCAGUGGCACAGCCUCAGUUCUGGAGCUGGAGAAAGGGUGAAUUUUUAUUAACAUAUUUUAGAAAGUUGAAAUUUUAAGGAAUUUUUUGUCAGAAAAUGCUGCACUGAAAGAAGACUGGAGAAAAGGUGAAUAAGGUUGAGAUUUUAAGGAUUUUUUUGGUCAGAAAUUGGUGCACUGAAAGAAGACCAAUGCGUCUCCAGGUGUACAGAGUACAGUUCUAAAAAUUCUGUAGAAAGUCUGUCUCAUCCAAGAUGGCAAUGGGAUGGAGCUGGGGGUUCAGGCCAUUUGGGAUGAAAUGUGUGUGGGUGAAUGUCUAUUGCACCUCUGUCACUAUUUACCUAUCUGUAAGAUUAGUGCUACUAGUGAAAUGUCCCUGCAUUCCCUGAGAAAUCCUCGUGAGGUGUGUGCAGGCUGACUUACACUAUGUGGCAAUUGCAAUUUUGGGGUUUCAUGGUAUAUCAUCUUCUAGUAAAAUUUCUGUUUUCCUGCAUUGUGUAGCCUGCCUUGCACUACUCUUUCAAGGUUACAGAACUUUAUACAAGACCUAGUUUGCAAAAAUGUGGAAGUUUGGAUACUCUGUGACAAUCCCGUUUGCAGAGAGAGAGAUGUCUUCCAUUUGCUGAUUUACUCUCCAACUGGCCACAAUGGCCAGAGCUGCACCAAUCCAAAGCCAGGAUCCAAGAGCUUCUUCCAGGUCUCCCAAGCAGGUGCAGAGGCCAAAGGACUUGGGCCAACUUUUACUGCUUACCCAGGCCAUAGCAGAGAACUGGAACUGAAGUAGAACAGCUGGGAUUUGA